CAACGCUAAUAGAGAGUUUUAGUACUGCGGAAUGGUGCUACGUACGCAUCACGCAAGCGCCUUGCGUUACGUGGCGUCGUUUGCCACGAAUGGGCUUUUAGUACGCCGUAGUACCCGCGUACGUAACGAACGUGAAGCGUGUUGCGCCAUCUGGUAGAUCAAUAUAGAAGUACGUGUUGUUGACGGCCAAUCUGAGCCAAUCCAAGUGUGCUAGCCGGAUUAUGGCCAUAUGUUUAGCCACUGUACCGGCCGGUGCUCGCCUUUGAUGCCGCCAUUUUGCGAAACGAAGUCUCGCGCUGUCGCGAACGUGUUCGAGAGCGGCGCGACCACCUCAUACGUACGCACGCACGCAUCGCAUGCGUGCGUACGUAGCGGCCACGUACGUAACGCGAUACGUGCGCGUUGCGGUCUGCGCAUGCGCACUGCGCAAAACGUGGCGUCCUUACGUACGCAACGCCGCCACGUACGAUACGUACGCAGUACUAAAA
Rhipicephalus sanguineus (brown dog tick) is the source of this 488-nucleotide long non-coding RNA. RefSeq lists it as uncharacterized. The record is from RefSeq and is a predicted model, not a curated record. NCBI's taxonomy places the organism in Eukaryota, Metazoa, Arthropoda, Arachnida, Ixodida, Ixodidae. The transcript has 2 exons.